RNAcentral lists this ribosomal RNA (301 nucleotides) under uncultured bacterium. RNAcentral describes it as "partial 16S ribosomal RNA". It matches the Rfam family "Bacterial small subunit ribosomal RNA", at positions 509 to 807 of the family's 1533-position model. The record is from RNAcentral.
CAGUCGCCGCGGUAAUACAGAGGGUGCGAGCGUUAAUCGGAUUUACUGGGCGUAAAGCGUGCGUAGGCGGCUUCUUAAGUCGGAUGUGAAAUCCCUAAGCUUAACUUAGGAAUUGCAUUCGAUACUGGGAAGCUAGAGUAUGGGAGAGGAUGGUAGAAUUCCAGGUGUAGCGGUGAAAUGCGUAGAGAUCUGGAGGAAUACCGAUGGCGAAGGCAGCCAUCUGGCCUAAUACUGACGCUGAGGUACGAAAGCAUGGGGAGCAAACAGGAUUAGAUACCCCAGUAGUCCCUGUCUCUUAUAC